Molecule: transfer RNA, 67 nt
Filed under: Leptalpheus forceps
Lineage: Eukaryota; Metazoa; Arthropoda; Malacostraca; Decapoda; Alpheidae
Description: tRNA-Arg
Source: RNAcentral
ACCUGGGAAGCAAAUAAUUGCAUCAAGUUUCGGCCUUGAACUAGGUAUUACAUCGUACCCCCAGUUA